UCUUGGUCAUUUAGAGGAAGUAAAAGUCGUAACAAGGUUUCCGUAGGUGAACCUGCGGAAGGAUCAUUCAUAAUAAGUGUUUUAUGGCACUUUUUAAAUCCAUAUCCACCUUGUGUGCAAUGUCAGUUGUUCUCUUUUUUGAGAAUGACCAAACAUCAACUUAUUCUUUAACUCUUUGUCUGAAAAAUAUUAUGAAUAAAAUAAUUCAAAAUACAACUUUCAACAACGGAUCUCUUGGCUCUCGCAUCGAUGAAGAACGCAGCGAAAUGCGAUACGUAAUGUGAAUUGCAGAAUUCAGUGAAUCAUCGAAUCUUUGAACGCAUAUUGCGCUCUUUGGUAUUCCGAAGAGCAUGCUUGUUUGAGUAUCAGUAAACACCUCAAAGACUUUCAAUUCGUUUUGAAUGGCUUUGGACUUGAGCAAUCCCAACACCAGUCUUUACGAUCGGUGGAGGGUUGCUUGAAAUGCAGGUGCAGCUGGACAUUCUCCUGAGCUAAAAGCAUAUUUAUUUAGUCCCGUCAAACGGAUUAUUACUUUUGCUGCAGCUAACAUAAAGGGAGUUUGACCGUAUUGGCUGACUGAUGCAGGAUUUCACAAGGGUCGGCAACGAUUCUUGUAAAACUCGAUCUCAAAUCAAGUAAGACUACCCGCUGAACUUAAGCAUAUCAAUAAGCGGAGGA
Molecule: ribosomal RNA, 678 nt
Filed under: uncultured fungus
Lineage: Eukaryota; Fungi
Description: eukaryotic LSU rRNA
Rfam family: 5.8S ribosomal RNA (bases 215-368)
Source: RNAcentral